Molecule: regulatory RNA element, 168 nt
Organism: Anaerosporobacter mobilis DSM 15930
Lineage: Bacteria; Bacillati; Bacillota; Clostridia; Lachnospirales; Lachnospiraceae
Source: Rfam
UAGCGUAACAUCUAUAUUGUUUUUCUUAGUGUGUGCUUAAUAAGCUAGGUCGGUGAGGCAUGGACGCCGAGCCAGCCUGAACAUGACAGGAUGUCAUGUUGAAGGCGUGUCCGUAUCCUUUUAAACUCACUCUCCCACACACUUAGAUCGAACUCAGGUGCGUAGCGU